RNAcentral lists this ribosomal RNA (465 nucleotides) under uncultured bacterium. RNAcentral describes it as "partial 16S ribosomal RNA". It matches the Rfam family "Bacterial small subunit ribosomal RNA", at positions 28 to 507 of the family's 1533-position model. The record is from RNAcentral.
GACGAACGCUGGCGGCGUGCUUAACACAUGCAAGUCGAACGGAAAGGCCCCCUUGUGGGGUACUCGAGUGGCGAACGGGUGAGUAACACGUGAGUAACCUACCCUUGACUUUGGGAUAACUUCAGGAAACUGGGGCUAAUACCGGAUAGGAGCUCCUGCUGCAUGGUGGGGGUUGGAAAGUUUCGGCGGUUGGGGAUGGACUCGCGGCUUAUCAGCUUGUUGGUGGGGUAGUGGCUCACCAAGGCUUUGACGGGUAGCCGGUCUGAGAGGGUGACCGGCCACAUUGGGACUGAGAUACGGCCCAGACUCCUACGGGAGGCAGCAGUGGGGAAUAUUGCACAAUGGGCGGAAGCCUGAUGCAGCAACGCCGCGUGCGGGAUGACGGCCUUCGGGUUGUAAACCGCUUUCGCCUGUGACGAAGCGUGAGUGACGGUAAUGGGUAAAGAAGCACCGGCUAACUACGUG